CGCGUAGGCGGCAUGGCAAGUCGGGAGUGAAAGCCCGGGGCUCAACCCCGGAGGGUCUCUCGAAACUGCCAAGCUAGAGUGCGGAAGAGGCAACUGGAAUUCCCAGUGUAGCGGUGAAAUGCGUAGAUAUUGGGAAGAACACCGGAGGCGAAGGCGGGUUGCUGGGCCGACACUGACGCUGAGGCGCGAAAGCCAGGGGAGCAAACGGGAUUAGAUACCCCGGUAGUCCUGGCCCUAAACGAUGGAUACUUGGUGUAUGGGGUUCUCACAGUCCCCGUGUGCCGUAGCUAACGCGGUAAGUAUCCCGCCUGGGGAGUACGGUCGCAAGGCUGAA
RNAcentral lists this ribosomal RNA (334 nucleotides) under uncultured Acidobacteriota bacterium. Its description in RNAcentral is "bacterial SSU rRNA". It matches the Rfam family "Bacterial small subunit ribosomal RNA", at positions 568 to 898 of the family's 1533-position model. Lineage: Bacteria; Pseudomonadati; Acidobacteriota. The record is from RNAcentral.